AUUUCUUUUUGGGUUUGGAGCAGAGAGCUCCUGCUCUCUCCCUCUCUGUUCGUCUCUCUCUCUCUCUCUCUCUCUCUCUCUCCAUGUUCACCAUUUUUGCUCAACUUUGAACUUGAAAUGAGAGUCUUUAGAGUGAGAUUUGACAAAAGUAUUGUAAAUGAAAGUCAGAGAGCUCGUCGUGAUCUUCGCAAUGGUGGUCUUGGAUCCAUGAUCGGGCGAUAUUUGCAUUUUCGAAUUUGCUUUUCUUUAUAUUUUAGAUCCUUUUCUAAAGACCUGCCGAAUAUAAGAGACCUAGAUUGUUGGGGAACUGGAGGACAGUGAAUCAUGCCUCCAGUGGUUUAUUAUUAUCUAGGGUCGCUGUCAAUUUGAUAAUUUUUUAAAUUUCUUUUUUUUUUUAUGUUGUUGAUGUAGAUCAAAAGGAUAGUGUUUCUAAGGGGGAAAAAAAUCUGGUUAUGAAUGUUGUAGCCGGUUUAGCAAAAUUGUUAAAAUGUUGCAAAACAAUAUUGCAAAACUUGGGUUCAAUUUAAGUUAUCAUUUUGUAAUUGUGCAAUGCAGAUAAUUGAGUGAGUUCAUUUGAUCUAAGUUAUCAUUUUGUAAUUGUGCAAUGCAGAUGAUUGAGUGAGCUCAUUUGAUCUAAAGCAUUAUGUACAAUGUUCUCCAAAUAAUCUUUCUUUAUUAGCUUUGGUUGGUUCAUUAA
Non-coding RNA from Camellia sinensis, 697 nucleotides. Lineage: Eukaryota; Viridiplantae; Streptophyta; Magnoliopsida; Ericales; Theaceae. The record is from RefSeq and is a predicted model, not a curated record.